AACGCACAUUGCGCCCGCCAGCACUCUGGCGGGCAUGCCUGUUCGAGCGUCAUUUCAACCCUCAGGGCCCCUCCGCGGGCGCUGGCGUUGGGGAUUGGCAGCCAGCCAGCCCCGAAAUCUAGUGGCGGUCCCUCCGCGACCUCCCCUGUGCAGUAGCGAUACCUCGCAGCGGGACAGCGGUCUGACCACGCCGUAAAACCCCCUACUUCUCAAGGUUGACCUCGGAUCAGGUAGGACUACCCGCUGAACUUAA
RNAcentral lists this unclassified non-coding RNA (253 nucleotides) under uncultured Hypocreales. RNAcentral's name for it is "sequence contains 5.8S rRNA gene, ITS2, 28S rRNA gene". The record is from RNAcentral. Lineage: Eukaryota; Fungi; Ascomycota; Sordariomycetes; Hypocreales.